Molecule: ribosomal RNA, 488 nt
Filed under: uncultured bacterium
Lineage: Bacteria
Description: bacterial SSU rRNA
Rfam family: Bacterial small subunit ribosomal RNA
Source: RNAcentral
AUUGAACGCUGGCGGCAGGCCUAACACAUGCAAGUCGAGCGGAAACGAUGGAAGCUUGCUUCCAGGCGUCGAGCGGCGGACGGGUGAGUAAUGCAUAGGAAUCUGCCCGGUAGUGGGGGAUAACCUGGGGAAACCCAGGCUAAUACCGCAUACGUCCUACGGGAGAAAGCAGGGGAUCUUCGGACCUUGUGCUAUCGGAUGAGCCUAUGUCGGAUUAGCUAGUUGGUGAGGUAAUGGCUCACCAAGGCCGCGAUCCGUAGCUGGUCUGAGAGGAUGAUCAGCCGCAUCGGGACUGAGACACGGCCCGAACUCCUACGGGAGGCAGCAGUGGGGAAUAUUGGACAAUGGGCGAAAGCCUGAUCCAGCCAUGCCGCGUGUGUGAAGAAGGCUUUCGGGUUGUAAAGCACUUUCAGUGGGGAAGAAAUCCUCGGGGCCAAUACCCUCGAGGGAGGACAUCACCCACAGAAGAAGCACCGGCUAACUCCGUG